GGAAUUUCUACUCAAGAUCAGUGUGUCCAUUGGUGUCUAGUGUGUCAAAUUAUAUCAGGGAUUCUGAAGGAUAUAUUUUUUAAUGUAUUUUACAAUACCUCUGUUAACUAAAGAAUCAAUAUCUUUUUGUAACAAAAAUAAUGUACAACGAAGAUUCAAUAGGAACAAACAUGAAAUAUAUUCAAUUUAACUAUUAGGUUAUGUAAUAAGACCGUUCGCGUACAGUACUUGCUAAUAUUUUAUGGAACUUACAUAAUCAAUGAUA
Molecule: non-coding RNA, 265 nt
Organism: Megalopta genalis
Lineage: Eukaryota; Metazoa; Arthropoda; Insecta; Hymenoptera; Halictidae
Source: RefSeq, a predicted model, not a curated record